This 389-nucleotide ribosomal RNA is filed under the name uncultured bacterium. Its description in RNAcentral is "bacterial SSU rRNA". It matches the Rfam family "Bacterial small subunit ribosomal RNA", at positions 29 to 408 of the family's 1533-position model. The record is from RNAcentral.
AAUGAACGCUGGCGGCGCGCCUAAUACAUGCAAGUCGAGCGAGAAGACGUAGCAAUACGUUUGUAAAGCGGCGAACGGGUGAGGAAUACAUGGGUAACCUACCCUCGAGUGGGGAAGUAACUAGCCGAAAGGUUAGCUAAUACCGCGUACGCUCCUUGGACUUCGGUUCAGGGAGGAAAGCGAUACCGUGGGUAUCGCGCUCUUGGUUGGGCUCAUGUCCUAUCAGCUUGUUGGUGAGGAACGGCUCACCAAGGCUUCGACGGGUAGCUGGUCUGAGAGGACGAUCAGCCACACUGGCACUGCGACACGGGCCAGACUCCUACGGGAGGCAGCAGUAAGGAAUAUUGCGCAAUGGGCGAAAGCCUGACGCAGCGACGCCGCGUGGGGGA